GACGAACGCUGGCGGCGUGCUUAACACAUGCAAGUGGAGCGACGAAGCGGGCUUCGGCCCGUGGCAGAGCCGCGAACGGGGGAGUAACACGUGGGUAACCUACCUCGAUGACCGGGACAACCCGAGGAAACUCGGGCUAAUACCGGAUGUGCUGGUCCCUUGUAAGGGGGUUCAGUAAAGAUAGCAUUGGCCUUCGCAUCGAGACGGGCCCGCGGCCGAUUAGCUGGUUGGUGAGGUAACGGCGUACCAAGGCGACGACGGGUAGCUGGUCUGAGAGUCCGAUCAGCCACACGGGAACUGAGACACGGCCCCGACUCCUACGGGAGGCAGCAGUGGGGCAUCUUGCGCAAUGGGCGCACGCCUGACGCAGCACCGCCGCGUGGGGGAAGACGGUCUUCGGAUUGUAAACUCCUUUCAGUUGGGACGAAGCUUCGCCGGUUAAUAGCCGGCCGGAGUGACGGUACCUUCAGAAGAAGCCCCGGCUAACUACGUGCCAGCCGCCGCUGUAA
Molecule: ribosomal RNA, 509 nt
Filed under: uncultured bacterium
Lineage: Bacteria
Description: partial 16S ribosomal RNA
Rfam family: Bacterial small subunit ribosomal RNA
Source: RNAcentral